UGCAAGUCGAGGGGUAACGGAAGUAGCUUGCUACUAGACGACGACCGGCGCACGGGUGAGUAACGCGUAUGUAAUCUGCCUUGUACAGAGGGAUAGCCCAGAGAAAUUUGGAUUAAUACCUCAUAGUAUUACCGAAUCGCAUGAUUCGGUAAUUAAAGCUCCGGCGGUACAAGAUGAACAUGCGUGACAUUAGCUAGUUGGUAAGGUAAUGGCUUACCAAGGCCACGAUGUCUAGGGGUUCUGAGAGGAUGAUCCCCCACACUGGUACUGAGACACGGACCAGACUCCUACGGGAGGCAGCAGUGAGGAAUAUUGGUCAAUGGACGCAAGUCUGAACCAGCCAUCCCGCGUGAAGGAUGACUGCCCUAUGGGUGGUAAACUUCUUUUAUAUGCAAAUAAACCUACUUUCGUGAAAGUAGCUGAAGGUAGCAUAUGAAUA
This 439-nucleotide ribosomal RNA is filed under the name uncultured bacterium. RNAcentral's name for it is "bacterial SSU rRNA". It matches the Rfam family "Bacterial small subunit ribosomal RNA", at positions 56 to 488 of the family's 1533-position model. The record is from RNAcentral.